GUUGGAAUGGUUGAAUAACUGGCCAAUCGAAUUUGUGAAAGAAACUAGGAGGCGGGAAGUCAUUUGGAUAAGACAUGGCGAUGUUCGAUACAGAAACUCGUUAGAAUUUUUAACCAUUUACAUUCUGGAUUUCCCCGCAUUGAAUUAUUGGGCGCAGUCUUUUCGGCGUAGUACGCGCCCCCAGUUGACCAUGCCCGUCCAGUCAUUCUCCUUCCCCCUCCCUGAGACCCGCUUCUUCCGAGCUGGACGCCACGUCUACAAGUUCAAGAUCAAGAGCGGCAGCAAAUGCAGUGAUGAGAUUAUCAACGAUGAGCACACCACGCAGGAGCUUGAGGUAAAGAGGAGACAGAUUCUACAUUAGAGCAUUCACAGGGAA
Long non-coding RNA from Anguilla rostrata (American eel), 376 nucleotides. RefSeq lists it as uncharacterized. The transcript is spliced from 3 exons. NCBI's taxonomy places the organism in Eukaryota, Metazoa, Chordata, Actinopteri, Anguilliformes, Anguillidae. The record is from RefSeq and is a predicted model, not a curated record.